RNAcentral lists this small nuclear RNA (103 nucleotides) under Chinchilla lanigera (long-tailed chinchilla). The record is from RNAcentral. Lineage: Eukaryota; Metazoa; Chordata; Mammalia; Rodentia; Chinchillidae.
GUGCUCACUUCAGCAGCACAUAUACUAAAAUUGGAACGAUACAGAGAAGAUUAGCAUGGCCCCUGCCCAAGGAUGACUGAACUGGGUAGUGAGACCCUGUCUC